UACGAAGGGGGCUAGCGUUGCUCGGAAUCACUGGGCAUAAGGGCGCGUAGGCGGGCUGCCAAGUCAAGGGUGAAAUCCUCCGACUCAAUCGGAGAACUGCCUUUGAUACUGGUGGUCUCGAGGGAGGUAGGGGCGUGUGGAACUAAGGGUGGAGCGGUGAAAUGCGUUGAUAUCCUUAGGAACUCCGGUGGCGAAGGCGACACGCUGGACCUUUUCUGACGCUGGGGCGCGAAAGCCAGGGGAGCAAACGGG
RNAcentral lists this ribosomal RNA (252 nucleotides) under uncultured bacterium. RNAcentral describes it as "partial 16S ribosomal RNA". It matches the Rfam family "Bacterial small subunit ribosomal RNA", at positions 524 to 776 of the family's 1533-position model. The record is from RNAcentral.